RNAcentral lists this long non-coding RNA (13054 nucleotides) under Marmota monax (woodchuck). The record is from RNAcentral. Lineage: Eukaryota; Metazoa; Chordata; Mammalia; Rodentia; Sciuridae.
UCCGGUGCUCCCACGGGCACAUACUGACCGCGUGUGUCUGGGCGCAGUGGCAGCCAUGGUGGCAUUAUCUGUGCCAUGGACCACGCCACCCAGAGACCUGGCAGCCCCACCUCAGUACAUACUCCAGAGGGGAGUCCCCAGGUGCCCCCAAGACGAUCACAAAGCUGACUGAAGCGGCUGUCCUGGGAACAAUGAGCAGAAAGAGCCAGUGGCCUCGGACGAGGGGCUGGGUAAGGGGCUGAUACCACCUGGGGCUGUUGCGCCUGGUGAGUCGGGAGGAGGUGGGCACACGGGCGGUUAAUGGAGGCGUCCACGGAGACGAGCUCACUCUGCACUCGGCAUUCCUGGCUGCGUACGUCACCUACUCAGUUAAAGAGUGAAGACGUGUCCCUGUGGGGUCCCUCUGUCUGUCUGUCCCCGGGAAGUUCUUUCCUCCUUCCCAGCUCCCGGCUGACCCAGUGCCAUCUCCAGCAGCCCACACCUCCCUCCCCUUUCCCAAGAAAGACAAGUCCUGAGCUCUGGCUCUCAGAGGCCACAUCCUGCCCCGCGCAGUGUCCCCUCUCCACUUCAGGAAGACAGGUUCUCCCUGCCUUCUGCCCCAGGGGAAUGCUGGAGGGGAUCCCUCAGGAGGGCCACCCUCUGCCCACACACAGCAAGGACUUGCUGAGGCCACGCAGAGGCCUGUGGGAACAAAGGGCCCCGGCAGAAGGGCGGGCAGGGCUGGCCCCUGGAGGAAGCCCAUAAAUGUUCCUCAACAGCCGAGCCCCACCUCAGGUUGGGAAGGGCAGGAAGGGCCAGCGCUGGGGACGAGCCCAGGGGUCGUGCUCUUCGUCAUAAGCACAGAAGAUGACUUUGUGGAAAUGGGCGAUAAAGGAUUGUGAGAGGGCCUCGGUUGGGCGGGCAGGAGCUCCCAGAACCAGUGGCCCGCUGUGACAGGGAGCUGUCCCCACUGUGGCACAGAGUGGCCCACCAGAACUUGCCCCCAGUGAGCCUUGGAGCCCGCAAGGCAACCACGUGGCCUCUGCAGCAGGAGCCAGGCCUGGGAAUCAGGACAGCUGCAGCCACAGAGCGAGCGGGAGAAGGGCCCCCUGAGCCUCUGGUUCAAGUCCCCGUGCACUCUGCCCCAGAGGCAGGGGAGGCAGGGGAGGGGUCUCCAGGGUUUUCAGCCUCCUUAGAGGAAAUACUCUCCCUGCACAACCUAUCCAGACUCACACGACAGAGACACCCAGCCUGGGGGGGGGGGUCCACACCCCUUUCCAAAGGCCAAAAUGAAUGAGUGUCCACCACACUGUCCCUGCUUCUGAACCUGAAGGGGCAGAGCUGAGGUGACCGACUAUGAGUAGGUAGGUGCUGUCUGCUUCCAACAGGAAGGUCUCACCUUGUGCUCACAGCCCCCCAGCUUUGGCUUGGACAGUGGAACAAGGACAUGCUGUCCAAUCAGAGAGCUGCCACUGACUGAUUCCGAACCCUGAAGCCAGUCCCCCCCCCACACACACACACACCCGUGCAAGGGUCCCCAGCAUGACCGACAGCCAGGCUGGCUCACACUCAUUAUUCUAAACCUCAGGUGAGGGGCCCCUGGGCCAACGGGAGGGGCACAUCUUUCAAAGCCACAGGAUCCAGAACCAGGGGCUGGUGAGGGUAGGGAUGGCAGCAUCCUGGUGUGGCACCCUGAGGGCUUGGCACUGGGCAGAAUAGGGAAGGAGGCUGUGGGGACUAGGGCUGGGUCUAAGAGGUUGGUCCCGUGUCACCACACACCCUUGGGUCAGGAGCAGGCGAUGCCUGUCCUCUCUGCCUCCCGGGGUCCUGGUUCACAGGCUGCCCAGCUCCCUAGCUCCAGCCUAGAUAAGAGGCCUAGAGGAGUCGGGUGGCAACAAGGCCAUAUGGUCACUAAGCACUUCCAGGGUGCUGGGCACCCCGCCAGGCUCUUUAACUGCAUCGUUUCAUUCAUUCAGUGAUCGUCUUGCCCACAUUUGACAGGUGAGGAAACCAAGGCACAGAGGAGAGAAGCCACUUUCCCCAGGUUCCUGUGGCCAGGAAGCCCAGACUCAGGAUUGGAGCUCAUUUCUCCCUCCCCGGAGCUGGGAGGCUCUGGGGAAGGCAGGUCUGGGGUCUGUAGCAGAGAUCUGCGUGGCCCUGGGAGGGCGGUAGUGCUGGGGACACAAGGAGAGGAGCUCCAGGAGAAGGACUGGCCUCAGACUUCCCCAGGCGCAUUCUUGUCUAGACUGGUCACAGAGAAGUCAUAACUUGGGACAGAUGUGACACAUGGCAGAAGAAGGUAGGUCUAACAGCGUGCUCUUGUCCCUGGCUCCUCGUGAGCUGUGGCUGAGAUGGCUUCUGGGCUGGGAGAACCAGACUGGGCAGCAUCCCAGCCGGGCAGUACCCAAGAUAAGACCUUGCAUGGUCACCUCCAUGUCCUCAUUGUCAGGGGGGGAUAAUGAUCUCCCAGGCUUUGUGGUGGGCCUCAGAGAAGUGAUAUAUACAAAACUCUAGGCAUUUUAGGAUAUAUGAGAUUGCAAUAGCUACUCAAGCAAUGUUCAUUAAAUAUGUUAAAUCCAACCAAAUCCAUCAAAAAAAAAAAAAACUGAAUACUAAGUGUUCUGCUUGCCCUACUUGAGCAUCUCUGGGGGGGCACCUGAGCAGAGGGAGGGGGGCACUGUCCCCGAGUGCUGGCACAGGAGCUUGCUGACACCCUGAAGAAUGAGACAAACCCAGGCUUGUCUUGCUUUUCAGUUACUGUUAUUAAAAACCACGAAUUCACCCAAUUCUUCCAAAUCCACCCCCGCCCUGCCAGCCCAGCCCUGAACCCAUCCCAGCGAAGGCCCAGCUACAGAGAGUGGUGCCCAGCUCUGCCUCCAACCAGCCUUUGCAAGCCCUGCUCGGUGAUCUCAGCUGCUGCACAGGAAGGGAAACAUCUGCAGUCACCGCUGGCCUGGGCUGAGGGGGGUCAGUUUCACAGGAGAGAACAGCAGCCCCCUCCUUUGCUUCCUCAGACCCCUCUGUUCUCCAAAACAGAGGUCAAGUUCACCAGAACCCUUUAGAGGAAACAGCAAAUCUUUCUGCAGAGCCCACCCUCCAGGCCACUGUGCAGGCAGGACCUUCUCUUAGAGCUCAGGCCAGCAGGCCUCGGCGGGGAGUCACCAUGGCCAUCUCCAGCCAGAGCCGGUGUCCAGGCUCUGUCCUGCUCUGGGUUCCCAGGGAUGAGGCAGGCGCAAGCCCCUCUUCCCUCGCCAAGCCCUGUGCACCCACCCAGGCCCAGAACCAGGGAGAGGCCCUGCUGUUUCCUGAGCCUGGUGCUCCCCACCAGCCCGGAGAGCAGCGUGGACAGAACUACCCCACAGCCCCCCUCUUCUACUUGCCAGCCGUGACACUGGGACAAGCCACUCCACGUGCUUGAACUCAGCUUCAGUCAGAUGGGAUCCCAACAGUGCUCAUGGCCCACGACUUCAGAGGGAAGGUUCAGUGAGAUGAGGCAGAAGGGGCCUGGCCAGGAGGUGCGCCACGGACGCCUGCGUCCUUACAUGAUUAACAUUAUUAACUUCUGGCUGUUGGUGCUGCUCCAGGUCUUUCCAUUGCCGUACGGGGUCUGGGCGCCCCGCAUCCCAGUGAGCUCACCGUGGCCCUGACCCUGCCUGGCCCUCCCUCCCGCUCUCAGCCUGGGCCUGUGUCGGCCCUGGCCCGGCCCUGCUGCCCCUGGUGCUGGAGGCCAAGCCCCAGGCCUGCCGGUGUGGCCAACCCCCUCCGGAGCCUCAGCCUGGACCCUGAUCUACACCAAGGUCACCUGCCUCCGUGUUUGGGGAGAAUAGGUUUACCAUUAAGACUUCUCACUCCACUCACAAGCAGCCUGUUCCUUCCUGCCAGAAAGGUGCGGAUCACUCCUUGUUGUUGUUAGUUUCCAUUUUUAAGACCUGCUUCUUAAACAGAGGCAUACAAAGGACAAAGCAAAAGGCUUAAAAGCCGGCUUUCCUUCCUCGCCCCCCAGCUCGGCCCUGCAGGGUGUUCUUGCCCCACCCCCCACACCCCCACCCCCGCUUGUCUUUUCUGGCACAUGCAGCGCACACAGGGCCUCUCAGACUUUUCCCACCAGGCCCUAUAGACAGCCUCUGCUCUCUACCGCUUCCUGGCCUCACUGGGGAAAUGCCCCCUGGUUAUAAUGCUUUAAUCCCACUUACUCCCCUCUGGACUAAAUAUCUUUGUGUGUUUGGGCAGGUCAUUUCAUGGAAGAAAUCCCCAGAAGUGGAAUUACUGAUCAAAGGGCCCAAGGUCUCCCUGGUUGCUACCUAUUGGCUUAGCCCUACAGCCUGCUGGGUGUCCUGCCCCAGGCCCUGUCCACCCCACCUUCCCAACUGAGUCCAGUGCAGGCCUCACAACCAAGCCAUCAUUCACAUGCUGGUUCACUCCAUCUGUCCUAAUCUCCCCUGGCCAGGUCCGGGGCCAGGUGCUCGGGAUUCAUACAAGUCCUUCAGAAGCCCAUGACCUUGGGCUAACUCCUCUUCGUGAAAUUUCCUGGGACUGCCACACAGGGCCUCUGCCCCUCGUGGGCUUCUGCAGCUGCAGUCAACAAAUAGUUGGCGCAUCUUCUCGCUGUGGUGGAGACGCACACAGGCACCGUCCAGAGCGGCCUUGUUCUGUAGCCAGUGACACAAGUUCUCCUCCCUUCUCCCAUCCCAGAGACCACGGCUACUGGGAUUCCUGUCCUGGGAAUUUGGAAAGGCUGAGGUGUCAGGUGGACAGUGCUGAGCUUUGGAAGUUGGAGGCCCAGCUGAGGGACAACCUAAGGCACACACAGGACAAGGCCAUGGGACAAAGGAACAGCGCUGCUGGGGAAGUCAGCCUGCAGGGUGGAGAGCGAGACUGAGCACAGGGAGGGACAGGCCUGCAGGCACCACCCCGCAGAAAGGCCCAGAGAUGCCUCCCCUGCAGUGAAGUCCUGGGAGGCCCCUGGGGUCCGCCACAACCUCCUCUGGUGUGAACUGACUGAUCCAAAACCCUGGCCUGGGGCCUCCUCAUCAGCCGGAGUCCUCUGAUCCUCUCCGCCACCUCUACACCCAAACUGGCCUCCAGAGGGAAGCCCAACACCUGUCCACCAGGCCAGAUGCGAUGCUGCGUGUGUCACCCAGGCUGAGCCACGAAGUCCCCACCAGGCCACAGGGAAGCGCCACAACACUGCAACAGCUUCCUGUGUCACCUCUGCUUCUAGCAAGUGUCCUGUGGCCCAGGUCCCCUUGAUCUCAAAUCCCUGUUUCUCAAGUCUGUGGAGAGGGUUGGAUGUGCGCAGGUGGCAUGUCUGAGAACUGGGGGGGGCAUGGCGACAGGAAACUGCACCGGCUCUGCCACCGGCAGAGGACCAGGCUGCACGGCCAAGUGGCACCCCAGGACGGCUGAGCCUGGCACGGCCUGACUCUGCAGAGCCCCCAGGGCUGUGAGCGCCCCCAGGGCUGUGAGCACCCCCACUGCCGGGCCUUGAGGCCAAGGGUAACGAGGAGACGCCACAGAGCAGCCUCACUUCAGAAGGAGCACGUGUCCUGCCUUCCCCGCUCCUGCCGCGUGGGAACAGGGAACACGGUGUCUCCAGGGAACACAUGGCUGAGGCUUAUGUAAGGUAAGAAGUAGAAAAGUUUCCCCAGCAUGACAUUUCAUAACCAGCCCACUCCCCGCCCUGCCCCGUCCUCAUGAGGAGAAGGGACACCGUCAGGGAAGAGGGUAGUGUUCAGGGCACAGGUGACCCUUGUCCUCACCCUGACGAGGGCCAUCUGGUCUCUGUCAUCUCCACCUCACAGACUCCGGGGUUCACUUGCCCAAGCACUUGAGAGGAUUCCAGAGGGAUCCUCACCCUGGCCCUGUGGGGUCCUCCCCGGGCUCUGGAGGACACACACCACAGAACCCACAUGAUAGGCCUUUCCGGCAGGUGAACAGGAUGUGGGAGAAAGGGCUGCCAGCUGCACAGUUAGGCCUCAGCGCUCACUGCCCUGAGCAGAGAGCCCGGCGUGGCUCUUUCAUGACCUCCUGGCAGGACAGCUGGUCCCUGAGGAGGGCGACAGCAGAGCAGGUCCCGGGAGCCAAGGGGCAUAGCAUCUGAGAGCCCCCCAGGCUGGCCACCUGGCUUCAGGGCCCCAGCUGGCACCAGCAUGGCCACACCAGUCAUUUCUGGAUGGAUGCCUGAUGUUUGGGGGACUCCAUACAGAUAGAGUCCGCUGCUGUCCUGCAACAAGGGCCUCAGGGAGGACAGGGUCGGCCAGUUCCGUGGGCCAGGAUUUGGGGCAGUGCUUGUUGCAUUCCAGGGAAACAGGACAUUAGGAGCAGAGGGUCGCAAACAAGCAAAGACAUUAUGGGGGGGGGGACAAUUUGCUGCUCAGGGAGGGCUUCCUGGAGGAGGAAAUGCCAUGAGUGCCUCUUAGAAAAUCAGUAGGGGUCAUCUGAGAAGGCUCAGGGAGUGUGGGAGGGUGAGGGCAUCCAUUUUCUUUCUUCCUCCAGGUGGGGGACAGGGGACAACAGCCCCCACCCCAGGUACUGUGGCAGCCUAGCAUUUGUAGAGAAGCCUGGCAGAGUGGGCCGAGGGCUGGAGGGGUCCAGUCACUUGCCCUGGCACUUGCCGUAGAGCCUGGGGUGUCGACUUGGGGCAUCGGGGCCAGGAGAGGUGCUGUCCAACUUACAGUGACAGAAACAGUUAACAGGCAAAGUUCUCAGGCCCUGAGCACUCAGCAGAGCCCAGGUGGGCUUCUGCCUGCAGGUGGCACUGAGUGGCACUGAAAGUCAAGAGAAAGAGGCCCAGGGCCACAGGCGACUGGGAGCGCAGGACAGGGAGAGGCCUCGUGUCACUAAUUUAGGAGCCCGUAGGCCUUUCCUAAUGACAGCCUCGGUGGUCCCCAGGGGACCGCAGGUGCUCCUGCCAGCCAGGUGAUGGAAAUGCCACUAACACGUUGUACCUCAGCCCAGGAAUCUUCUGUUGUGUUCAGAAGACAGGGACAACUGGCCCCAUCAGUCCCGUGCGGCCGCAGAGGCUGCAUGCUCAUGUCUGAGCAACUUCAGUGCCUUGUGUCUUCUGUGUUUCAGGGUCUUAAUCCAGGAAGAAGUUCCCAGGCUGAGCAAUUGCUCCGCCCACCUCAGAGCUGGAUGGCACCCUCUGGGAGAGCGUGUGGUCAUGCUCCGUCCUCCAGGAGAUGACCAUCCUGGGCUCAGAUGGCCAGGACUGCCUCUCUCAUCAGAUGACCAGGUCAGGCACUGCAGCAGCAGGGGUCCCAGGGCCUGCCAGGAGACCCCCCCCCAGCUCAACUGAGCAUCCUGGGAGUUGCUCUAUGCAGGAUGAUGAUGGCCACCUAAAACCAGGACACCACGGUCCCCAGAAACAAAGACACCAACCAGUUCAAGGCCGCUGCCACCACAGGAGCAGACCCAGCCCCUCCAACCAGGGUCCCGCUCUCACUGUCCUUCGGCCAAGCCGGGGCACGGAGGGGUGUGGAGGCCCAAAGGCUGACUGGGCAGCCCUGGUCUUGUGGGGGAGGCUGGCCGGGAAUUCUAAAGCGGCCCAGACUGGGCAGAGCCUCUGUGAAGGUCAGGACGGAGGCCAGCAGCAGGCCUCUGAGUCCGACUACUUAAUCAGGACUCAAUCCAUUUCCUUCCUUCAGUCCAGGCUCCGAGGCCAUCUUUCAAACUAAUGAGAAACCUUGUUUGGCGGCGGGCCGCUGCCGCCCUCCCCUGGUUUUUUAUUACCUCCCCCAAAGCCUCCUUCCCUGAAGAGGAACCGAGGGGCUGAGCUGUGCUCCCCGCUCUGCAGCCAAGCGCUUCAGCCCAGGUCUGCUCAGAGCCCUGGGGAGCCGAGGUUGCCCCAGGACUCUAGGGCCGAGACCGGGGGCUGCUCACACAAGUGAGCAGGGGCUGGCCAGGGGGGUUGGCACUUGUGCCUCAUCUCCUGCUGCUCCCUCCUGACCAUCAGGCGCCAAGUUCAAGGGAAAUAAAACCCCCACAAGUGGAUAGAUGACGUUUCUGAGGCUGCCCUCUGUCAGGGAAAGAUACCAACAGCCCAGCGAGGCCUAGGCAAAGUGGGGCACCCGGGGGAAGAUGGGGAGGGACAGGCCCAGGGGCAGGGCCUCCUGGACAUCAAGCCAGGGCGGCCACAGCACAGUGGCCAAGGAGACAGAGACCAGAGCAGCUGCUGCAAGCUUGUCCCCAACUACUUAAUCAGGAUGAUGAUGAUUCUGGGCCAUUCUGUGGCCCACGCUCCCAGGGUCCCCCAUCCUCCAGGGAGGGCAGCCCCACCCCCACAGCCAGUGCCCAUGGGCUGGGCGCUGACUCAGAACCUGAGUCACAGGUGGCUUCCUCCGGCAGAAGCUUGCCCAGGCAAUUGUCCUCUGAUCACUCAGCAGGUGGACAGGCCCCAAGGGGCUGGCAUCUGCAGCCUGGGGGAAAGAAACUGCACGCUGAGCAGCCUGGUCAGUAGUUGAGGAAAGUUCAAGCUCCCACUCAGGUGGCUGUGAGCGGGUUCCACGGUGCAGCUCGCCCCCUGAGAGCCACAUGACUGGCCAGCUCUGGAGUGCGUCUCGGGCAUCCCACGAAAUGUCUUCCCAACAUGGGGAGGGGCAGCCCUCCCGGGGCCUCGAUACUUCCCUAAGUUGUUCAGCACAGGACGCAGAGCCCCCCAUCAUAAUUUGCUUUGGGGUUCUCCAAAGAGAUGGAAUUUGCUUCAGCGAUCCUAAGCAGAAAGCUGGGCUCUGGAACCUGCCCGCUUGGUGGCUACACCCCUGCCCCACCAGGGACCUGUGGCCUGGGGGCCCUGUCAAGCGGGCAUUGGAAUCUUUUGGUUCCUGCCACCACACACAGCCUAAGGACAGUCACUGGGCAGAGCUGGGGCCCUCUCCACAGAUGGCUUUCCUCUUCAGACCACUGUCACUCCCAGCUGGCCUGGCCCUCAGGCAGCCUGCAGAUGCUCCCUGCAGGUUGGGGCCACAGGCUGGGCCUCACCUGCCUCUGGACCAGGUGGCCCCGAGAGAAGGGGAUAAUUGUUCAGUCAGUGUGAUGCGGACUCCUGGUCUUGGGCUGAGUCCCACCCCACCUCCCACGUAGGCCUCCCACACCUGUCCGUCAGACUCCAUGAUUCAGGGGAGCAGGCCCCAGCUCCCCCAGCCGGGCCAGCUUCCAGCACCGGCAGGUUGACAGUCAGGAGCUCUCUCCUGGCAUCCGGCCCUGUUUCCCCCCCCCCCCCCCGAUUCCUCAUUACUCUCCUGGGCCACUCUUCACCAAGCUUCUCUCCUCUGCCUUCGUGCCCUUCAAAGGUUUGUAGCAGAACUCGUUUCUUGGCUGAAGGACGGGCCAUCAGUCUCCUUAAUCUGACUUCAUAAAUCACCACCUGAGUACCCCCAGGUGCCCCCUGAACUCCUGAGCCCUCUGGCUACCUCUUGGGCAGUCCCAGGCCCCAGGUCCCUCCUGGAAGGGUGGGUGUGCCCCCAACACACCCAGCAUGUCCCCUGCCCCUCCCAAGGCCCCCAUGUGGCGGGGGCUUGGCAGCAGCGCCUGCAGGAGUCUCGCCAGGGGCCGCGCAGCUGCCUCUCCUGUCAGCGGGGCCUUCUCCUGGAACGGAUGUCUUAAGCUUGCUGGGAUCAAUUGUCCGUGGUGUCCCACUUAAUUCCCCUGCCAGGAGGCUGACAGCUUCAGCAGAGCAGGGUACAAGAAGGACUUUGUCAGGACGCUGAAUCAAUCCCUAAGGGACGUGGCCUUUGAGGCAGAGAGUGGAGGAGGGCAGGCUGGGGUCUGGAGAGGGUCUCCAGGACCCAUGAUCCCACCUUUAGAAAAAACCAGGGGAGCCCUGCUUACCCAGGACAAAGGGCGUAGCACAGCCCGAGUCCCGCACCCAGCCUGGACCCAGCCGGCACUCAAGCCCUCUCACUAAAAGGCCAGGUAAAGUUUCCACCAAAGCCCAGGAAAGGAAGGUGAGAGGAAGAGGACAUGCGCGUGCACCUAUGUGUGACUUCUUGUUGGGGAGAAGACCCCAAGGUGUCUUUAACCUCCCCCUCCCCCCAAGAUCCUUUAAGAUUAUUGGAGUCAGCCCUUCCCUGCUGGAGCGGCUGCUCUGCUCUGGGCAGGAACUGGUGAAAUGCAGAGGGGAGGGGGACGCAGCCCUGGCCGGGAGGGCUGCCGGCUUCCUGGAGGAGGGCAGUCACCUCGCAGCCGAGGGCAGGGCCUGGCGUUGCCCUGCUGCAGCACUGACUCUCACGCUGUGGUCCAAGACCGGCCGCCGCCACCCCCCGAAACUCGUUAGAAUGCAGAGUUUCAGGUGAAUCAGAUGCUCUGGGCGGGGGGGAGCCCACCUGCAGGUGAUCCAGGUGAGAACCACUGGGCUGGGGCGUGGGAAGACCUGGCCGAGGGAACCCCAUCCUGGGAUUUCUCCCCUGCUGCAGAGUUCAGGGCCUGAUGGUGUUUUCAGGGCUCUGGGGGCAGAGCCUGAUGGUCCCGUAGGUGGGCCAAGUGUGUGUGAGGAGAGUCGGCAAAGCAGAAAGCAUUUCUGAAAGAACCCGUGAUUUAGGGUUUCCCUAAAUAGCAUUAAAGUAACCACCAAGGGGACACAGCACCCUGGAGGCUUGCUCUAUUUUGUCCCCAAUCAGACAUUAGUAUAAUUGCUGUAUAAAGUAAACGUGAGCUUAGAGCUUCCCGCACCUGGAGCCCUUUCCUUGCUCUCCUGGACUGGUCUCUUGGACCUUCCUUCCAGAAUCAUUUUCCUAUAGAAAUGGCCCCAGUGAGGGUCUCCAGUCCCUGAGCUCUGUCUGAAGAUGUCUUCAUCUUCUUGAAAGGUAGAGACCCUGGGUGGACAGUUACUGACUGUAUAUUUUCAUACCCGAUGCUGUGACACUUCUAAGCUUCUGGCCUCUGUUCUCACUGGAGACAUCUGCCUUCAGUCUAAUAUGCGUGCAUUUGUAGAAGAUUUGUCUCUUCUCUCUGGCUUCUUUUAAAACCUUCCUUUUCCUAUUCUACAUCACCAUGAUGGGUCCAAUUAUGGCUUAAGAAAAAAAACAAAAAUAAAGUUUCUUGUUUGUGCUGUCUGAACUGAAAUUCAUGUCUUCUAGCAAUUCUGAAAAUUUCUCAGCCAUCAUCUCUUUGAAUAAUGACUUUCACCCCAUGCUCUCUUCCAGCUUCAGGAACUCCAAGCGGAUUUGUGUUCUUUCUUCUCACGCCAACCUCCUCCUCUCUCUCACCUCCACUCCAUAUUUUUCCAUGUUUUUCUUCUGUCCUGUGUUAUACAUCCCAGGAAUAGCUUCAGCUUCAUCGCUCAGUCUGCCAAUUGCCCUCCAAACUGAAUCUCUGUCUGUCUAACACGUCCAUUGAAUUUCCCAUUUCAGUUCGUAUAUUUUUCAUUUCUAGGAGUUGUACUGGACUUUUUUCCUAUCUCUCUGACCACUUUCAGAAUAUAUUUUUCUGUGUCUACAUUCUCAUUUUUAAAAUUUAACAAUUGUUUAACUUCUUUUUAUUUCUGAUCAUUCAGACAUCUGAAAUCAUUUGAUCCAGUUUUGUGUGUGAGGUUUCUGCAGAUGCUGACUCACCAUGGAUGACUGACUUCCUCCCAUACCCCGCCCCCCAGAAGAUCUGGCCACAGCCCAGCACAGCAGGUCUCUCUUCCUCCCAACCCAGUUCUUCCCUCAUGAGGCUCACGGUUGAAUCACAUUCCCAGUUUCCCAUGUAGCUGAAUGUGGCCAUGUGCCUGCAUCCAAUCCAAUAGGACCCAGUGGAAAUGGUAGGUACCAUUUCCAGAUCUGAACCAUACAACCCUCCUGCUCUUCCCCUUCCUCAGUGACCUUGAAAGCUUCAAGGUGGAGAUGGCAGAGCCAUAAGAAAGAUGCACCUGGGUCACUACUUAACAGAGAAUUGCCACCACAUCUGUUGUCACUCAAGCAGGAAAAACUGCCGGAACUCAAGGCUGUACCUGCCACAGCAGCCAGCACGCCUUAGCUACUUCCCAGGCCACUGUGUAGCCCGAAUUAACCUCUCAUUACAGUGAUACUAUGAAUUAGGUCUUUGCAGAACCUUUGCCAGGCUUAGCUAAGUCAAGGGUGUUUACCUGGGUCACAGAGCCCGAGGGACCCACUGUAAAAGGUCCCCUCCCUGCCAUGUGUCUCUUAGCUCUGGACCAGGUCCUAUUCUGGCCACUGAGAUUCCAGACAACGCUGACAGCUCUGGAGGAGUUCGCAGGUAAUUGGGGACUCGGAUGCACACAGGUAACCCUGAGACAAAAGAAUCAUGGCCACUGUGCAUCUGAGGGUGGGGGCUGUCACUCAGGAGGUGAUGCUACAGGCUGAGGUUCCAGGACCGGGGUGGGUCUCUGCCUGGGAGGGGGAUCCUGUGGUCCAGAGCAUUGGAGACCAAAGAAUCAGGCAGGACUUGCCCCAGGUUGGAGCAGGCUGGGUCCCAAGUACAGCCCAGGGAGUGCUCUGGAGGAGCUGGCGGACAUCACGGCUCGUCCCUGCUAGCAAGCCUCACCUUAGAGCUCUUAGUGACACCCUGCCUGGCAUGCUUGGCACCCUCUGUGCAGACAGGUCAAGAGGCCACGAUCCUGUCCUGGCUGCAGAGGUCCCCUCUAGGCUGGAGGACCUCUUUCUUACAGCGGUGUCAUUCCCAAGACAGGUCUGCAGAGACACGGCAGGCUGGAGGACCCAGCUAAGACCCUGACACUCACACGCUCCUCUAACCUUCUCAGCAGCCUCAGGGGAAGUCACGGGCCCCUGCUGAUGAGACCAAGCGCAGGAACAGGCUCUGCUGGGACGCGACGGUGUGUCGGUGUGUCCUGUGUCCGCCUGGCUGGGCUGCGGCACGUGUUCAAACACUGGUCUAGAUGUUCUUAACCCUCAGCGAGUUGAUGGUCGGCAAAGGGACUGAGCUGGAUAACAUGGGGGCCCAUCCAUGGCUUGAAGGCCCCGUCUGCGAAGACUGGAGCUUUCCGGAGAAUCGGGAUCUUGCCUCAAGCCUGGGACGUGCAGUCCAGCCUGCCCCACCCUCGCCGCCCCGCCCGCCCACCUAAUACCCUCACUCCCUCCCUCUCUCUCUAAUGUUUCUAUAAAAUCAUUGUUGCUCA